This 39969-nucleotide long non-coding RNA is filed under the name Brassica napus (rape). RNAcentral describes it as "long non-coding RNA (BNAP_LNC002451)". The stretch from base 8734 to 8840 matches the Rfam family "Plant small nucleolar RNA R71". Lineage: Eukaryota; Viridiplantae; Streptophyta; Magnoliopsida; Brassicales; Brassicaceae. The record is from RNAcentral.
UCGUCUUGGUGGUUGAAGACGGCUCGGAGGACGCCGCCGUCGCGGAGGUCACAGCUCGCACCAUGCGCAGGUUAGCCGGAUGAGAGGAGAUACGGAGGGAGGAGAGAGACGGCGAACUCCGGAACGGCGCCGUAUCGACGCGGAGAAAGGUAGAGAAGGUAGCAGAAGAAAGAGCCAUUGUCGUCUUGGGUGUUGUGUCUGUCUGUCUGUCUGUGUGGUGGAGUUGGAAGACGAGAGGUUUUGCUUUAUCCCUUUGUGUCCCUUUUAAUUUCUCGAGUUUCUAUGUAAACCGUUUAGUCUAAACCGGACCAAUGUUGUCUGGUUCUGGUUUACUACGAAGACAGACAGUAUGUCAGAAUCAAAUUAAUAUUGGUUGUUUUGCAAAGUAAUACAUUUCCUAAUGUUUAAAACAUUGCUAGAUGGAUAAGGCCUAAGGGUUUCGUAGAAGAUCAGAGACUAGGUAAACAAAUUAUUCAAAGUUUAGAUGGGAUCUACGCGUUAACAAAUAAAUAAGUUAUAUAUGUAUUUUAUAUUUACAUUAGAUAUUUUAGUUUUUGAGUUUAAUUAUAAAAAAUAUUUUGGUAAUUAUAAAAAUUACAUAUAUAAAAUACAAUUAGACAAACUUAUGAAUUUUCACUAACAACAGAUUUAGACAAUGGCAAAUGUCAAUAAUAGCACAUUUUGAAGUUUAUGUCUCAAAAAUGGCACUAGAAGGAGAAAGUCACAAAAAUAACAUUCAUUAAAGGGUAAAAUAUCCCUAAUACCCUUGGUUUAAAAUUAAAUAAAUAAACAAAAAUAAAUAAAAAAAUAAAAAAAUAAAAUAAUGAAAAAAAAAGAAUUUUUUUAUAGUUUCAGAUUAUAUGUUUUCAGAUUCGAAUUUUUUAUAAUAUCUUUUUUUCGAUUUUUUUUUUCAAAUUUUCGUUUUAUAAUUUAAAAAAUACUUUUGGAAACUGUUUUUAAAAUUUUUAUUUUUUAUUUUAGUAUUUAUUUUUUAUAAAAUUUUAAACCCUAAUUCCAAAACCCCACCCCUUAACUCUAAACCCUAAGGUUUGGAUUAAUUAACCCAAGGGGUAUAAAUGUAUAUUUAACUCUUUAAUGAAACCUAUUUUUGUGACUUUGAGCCUUGAGUGCUACUUUGGGAACAAAAAUUUGGUUUGGUGCUAUCCUAGUCUUUUUCUCUUUAGACAAUCUUAGAUCGAUUUAAAAUGAUUUAGACUAUUUGAAUUGCAAAAUUCAGAUUUUUUUAAAAAAAAUUGAGUACGACAUAUACCAAUUUUCAGAACAUUGCAUUUCCUUCUCCUAGUACACUUUUAUUUAGAACUCUGUUGAUAGUUUUCCACAAGUACAAAUGUAUAAUACAGCUCAACAACAAACAUGUUAUACCAAAAUCAUACACUUUCCCAGCAGAGUUAACACAAUCAUUAAUUGUUUUCCUUUAGCCUUCCAUGCUAUUUGAGGGAUAACAACGAAGACCAUAAGAUUAUUUUUCUAUAUUUAGCAAAUUCACUUGCAAAAUGUUUUAUUUGGUUGCCAGAAACUGUGUUACAAGAGCUUAAAAUAUUUGGGAGCUUUAACAGUAGCAACAGUGUUUACAAUGUACCUUGACAAUUUCAGACACUGAGUUAGGCCGCGUGUACGCAGCCAAAACACUCAUAUUAAAAUCCUGCAACAUAAACAAAUCUUGAAAUGCCAUAAGAGCAUCAUUAUCCCAAAUACCCCUUUAGAGUUUCUUAAUUAUUUUUUAAAUAUUUUUUAAGUAGUAAAUGUGAGUUAAGAGACUUAGUUAAGAGAUUUCAACAUUUAUGUGCUCCAAUGUAAAUCUCUUAAUUAAGGGUUCUUAAAGAAAAUAUGAGAAGGAAUAACAUGAGAAGGAGAAGGAGAAGGAAGAACAAAGGCUUCUUGUGAAUAAACUUUCAUUACAAAAUAGUAUUAUAAAGACAAUGACACAAGAAAAAUUGUACACAGAGAAGCCUAAGCAAUGCAAUAAAAGAGAGAGAUUUACUCACCCUUCUGCUAAGUAUGAUCUUGUCACCUUCCAUGAAUUUCUCCCAUUCAAAUCUUUCGGCAAUACUGUUAAGCAGCUUGGCUAUUUGAUCAUACUUCAUAGGGCGCAAAGUAUUAACCUCAAAACCAAACUUCUCAUGUUCUGUACCUAUCCUGCAAACUCAAAACAUCAAGUUAGCUUCAUGGAAUAAUGGUCCAACACACAAAACAAUCUGUAUGAGCUUAAAAACAAAAACAAGGUAGCACACGAACACAUACAAAGACAUUUAACAAAACAGUCUGCAAUUUGUAAUGUUAUAACAAAACCACAUGACAAGUCCUACACUUUCAUGUCUGGUAAGAUUCAAAUCCAACUGAACCUAAAUUCCAUCGAGGAUGUUUCCCAAAAGUUAAAACUUGUUUCAAAAGAGCACACAAGACGGAUCACUUAACCAAUCAAGCAAAACAUUCAGUUUUUCAUAGUUAACACAUGAUCCAAGUUUAAACAAACAAUCAACAGGACAAUUCAGUCUAAACUGGCACAAGUAGAAUAGCAGUAGAGAGCUACAAGAAACACUUUUAGGACUUUGACCAUUUCUCUACGAAUGAAAAAGUAAAAGGACCAGAUAAGCCAUUACCCAUUAUAGUUUCCCAUUGUCAACAUAAGCUAUUCUCAUUUGCAAAAAGAUUAUGUAUAAUGGUGCUCUAAAGAACAUUUCCUUGCUCAACUAUAAUAUCAAGUACGAGAAAGACUUAAGGAGCAUGUGUCAUGAUCAAGUUAUUAUAUUUGUAUGAAAAAUGAGAAACCCUGUACCAAUACAGAAAAUAUAAAAUGACAUCUCCUCUAAUUUCACCUGCAUCAUCUAUAACUUAAAACAAAAGCAUGCGCACAUAAGGCUGACAUCUCUGUAAAUGUCAACAGCCGACAAAGUAGGAACCAAUGAACCCACUACGAGAGGUUAAUAUGCAACGGCCUAAAUCAUAAGAUACAAUGACUCAAGAAGCUCUUAUUCUAAUUACAAAGUAUUCAUUUUCAAGAUGCAAUUAUGAUAAAUGAGUGCUUGUUAUCAAGUAUCAAGCUACUACAAGAGAACAAAAAAAAUGAAUCACGCUAAAGGUAACAAGCAGUAAAGUCAAUAGUACUAACCUCACGUAUAGCACAUGCAUAGUCUUCUUCAUCCUUACUCUUCUUCCGGCGGGGAAAGCUCCAGCUUGAUCCUUUCCAUCCCUUCACCAACAAGCACUGAAAUUUCCAAAAAAGAGAGAGACAUAAGUUCAUGAACAAACAAUAAGAAAACAAACCAAAAACUGUAAAGAUCACAAGGGUGGUCUAACCCGUUAUAAAUGCAAGCUGUUAACUUGGUGAUACCCACAUGACUCCAAUGUGAAGAUACGUCAACUAUCUCACUCAACUAAACAUGAUCAGGCAAUCAUCUUCUCUUGAAUCAGAUGUGAACUUGGUGAUACAUACAUGACUCCAACAUGAAGAUACCUCAACUAAACAUUUACAAGCAAUCAUCAUCACAGAUUCAUAGUCAAAACGUCGGAAUCAGAUUAUCAAUCAUGGCACAGAAACAGAGUAAAGAAUAAAGAGAGAGAGAGGCAAACCACUUAGCACGAGCAGUUAUUAACAACCUCCUUCGGUAGCAAUCUUAUACAACCCAUAAAGCUGAAGCUGCAACUCGUUCCACCACUCGCCGAGCAUGGCGGUGUCAGUCGUAAGGGAUUUGUGGACGUGGCGCGUGAACAAUACGGGGAUAGAGGCGCAUCGGCAGAGGUCGAUGGUGGCGAGAGCGUUGUAGAGGAUAGGAUUGGCCAUGGAGGAGAAGUGGUUUUGUAAAUCGAUGACGAGAAGAACGACGUUUUGAGGGCUUGGGUCUCGCUUUCGGGUCUUGUACUUUCUCCACGAGGAAGCCAUCUUUUGGAGAUGGAGAUGAAAGGAGACUCUUGAUAGGUUGAGAUAUUUUUCUUUCCUUUGUUUUCACCGCUUCGCCGAGGAGAGAUCACCAGAAGAGUCGGAGCGGUCGAGAAGUCACGAGGGAAGGAGAGAAGCAACGUUUCUUCCCAGCCUUAAUUAAGCAACGCUUCUUCUUUAAUUACACAAUUUUCUUUUCUUUUUUAACAUUAAAACACUAAGACCAUCAUUAACCCUGAACCUUAAUGAAUUUCUUAAGGCAAAAAGUGAUUAAAAUUAAAUCAGAAAAAAAGAAAAUAGAGAUUACCGAUCUUUAAUUUGGGUGUUUGGUGAUAGAUUAUUAGUGGGUUUAAACCCAUGUGUCAGUCUCCUAGUUAAAGUUUUUUUUUUCUGUUUUUUUUUUCUAUUUUUUUUCUUUUAUUGAUAGAAUUAGAAGGAAUUAGAAGGAAUCAUUGUUUCCAUUCAAUUCCACUGUUAUUCAAUUAUGAAUUUCAUCAAUUCUUUUAAAUUCUUUUGUUAUUGGAUUAAGCAUUUGGAAUCAUUUUUUUAAUUACUUUAAAUCUGUUGUUAUUCAAUAGUUGAUAGAUUUUGUAGUAAUGGUAUUUGAUAAGAAUUUAAUGGAAAAUGUCAUGUAUAAAUGUAAAGGGUCAAUUCUUUGCUCUUAUGCAGAGAUUUAUAAUGAAUUGUAGGAAAACACAAACAAUAGCAUUUCUCUACUUCUCAUUUUUCCAGAAGUACGUAAAGAAUGAAGAGACCUUUGUGGAUGAUAAUUAAUGAGUUACCCGCAAAUAUAAAAAACAACAAUUAACAAAUAUAAAGUCAAUGUUGCCUUGUUGCUGAAGAAACUGAUAUUAGGAGUUUUCAAGGCUCCUAAGACAAAUGUUGUAGUAUAGAAGAUUGUCGAACCAGUUCUGAGGGAUAUCAAAGCACUGAGAAUGCAAGUACUCACUUAAUCUAAGUGCAACCAAUGAUUUAGAUGGGUUUUAAACUACUACUAAACUAGAAAGCAAUAACAGAAUGAUACUUUCUUGACUAAGGGAAAAGAGAACUCAUGGGCAUAGGGAUUAGACCUUGGGUGAUCAAGUAUCGAACUAAGGAUGGCAAAUGAUCAAUCAAACUAUCAACCUUAAGCCUAGACACAAUUCUAAGCAAGCUCUAUGUCUAGAUGAAUGCUCAUUUGCUAACAUAUCUCAAACAUCAAAUGUCUUUGGUUGAAUAAUAUGAAAGCAAUCAUUACUAACAAGUCUAUUAGCUAUCUUAGCAUCUUUAACAACAAAUGUCUUUGGCAAAGUAUACUAAAAGCCUAGGAGAGUUGUCUCAGGCAUUUCAUCAAACACCUUUUGGGUGGGAAAUACCUAUCGAUCAACUUUUGAGUGGCCACCUCAGAAGAUGCAUUAUGAAUACUCUACUAGCAAGGAACAAGAAUGAUCUACACUAAAACAUCCUAGAACUAACCUAAUCACCCUUAAUCUCCCUAACCCAUGAAUUCAAAAGGUGAUUACUCACUAAUCUNNNNNNNNNNNNNNNNNNNNNNNNNNNNNNNNNNNNNNNNNNNNNNNNNNNNNNNNNNNNNNNNNNNNNNNNNNNNNNNNNNNNNNNNNNNNNNNNNNNNNNNNNNNNNNNNNNNNNNNNNNNNNNNNNNNNNNNNNNNNNNNNNNNNNNNNNNNNNNNNNNNNNNNNNNNNNNNNNNNNNNNNNNNNNNNNNNNNNNNNNNNNNNNNNNNNNNNNNNNNNNNNNNNNNNNNNNNNNNNNNNNNNNNNNNNNNNNNNNNNNNNNNNNNNNNNNNNNNNNNNNNNNNNNNNNNNNNNNNNNNNNNNNNNNNNNNNNNNNNNNNNNNNNNNNNNNNNNNNNNNNNNNNNNNNNNNNNNNNNNNNNNNNNNNNNNNNNNNNNNNNNNNNNNNNNNNNNNNNNNNNNNNNNNNNNNNNNNNNNNNNNNNNNNNNNNNNNNNNNNNNNNNNNNNNNNNNNNNNNNNNNNNNNNNNNNNNNNNNNNNNNNNNNNNNNNNNNNNNNNNNNNNNNNNNNNNNNNNNNNNNNNNNNNNNNNNNNNNNNNNNNNNNNNNNNNNNNNNNNNNNNNNNNNNNNNNNNNNNNNNNNNNNNAGUAGGCAAUGAAUCACUAAUCUAGCCCCUUUUUUUUUUUUCGUUUUUCUAUUUCCUUUAUUUUAUUUUAUUUUAUUUUUUAUUUUAGGCUGGGGGCCAAGACUUUUCAAAAUUUGAGCUAGAGGCUUCUCUACUUAUCCCAAUAAAACAAUUCACUUAAGCACAAAGAGUCUAUUCUUUUUUUUUUUCAUUUCUCCCAAAUCAUAAUCACAACACUCACCCCCACCCUAUAGCUAGACAAUAGAGUGCCCAAUCUAGCAAGAAUGAAGAUCAAGCAUUGUCGUUCCCGAUACUCUCAACAUUAUGCACAUGUAAGACUUUCCGAAGAAGGCCUCACUCAUCAAACAAUGAAAGCUUAAAAGGAGGGAAAGGUUUUGGGAGUGGUCUACCACUAGAGUUUGUCAAAAUAAGAUUGGCAUAAAGGAUGUGACAACUCAGGUGUGUAUAGCCAUGACUCAGUACACAAGGGACCAUGAGCAAGAAGCAUUAAGUUCGUUCAGUUCAAAUAAGGUUGUAGUUGGCUUCAAAGACUGAGUUUCAGCAAUCAACAAGUUUCAGGAAGAGUCUUCAAGGCUCGAAGCAUACAAGUGUUUUUGAGAGGUGCAUAAGCUAUUCAGGUGCAAAGUAAUGUUCUUUACAAGGCAUUUCAAAUCAUUGCUCCCAAUGCAAGUAAAUGCAACCUAUAUGCUCUAGACUCUCCUAGAAAUGCCAAUGAUGCAAACUAAAUAAUUUUUUUUUUAUGCAAAUAUAUAUGUAUAAUGCAAUGCAUGAGACUCAAAAUCAUCAAAGCAAACGUGAUCAAAUACUUGGUACCUCCCCCAAACUUAAAUGACACAGUCUCUGUGUUGUCAAGGAGAGAGAGAUACCCAAAAAGAGAAAACUAAUAUGCAAAAACGAAAUGGUAUAUACAAGGGAAAGUAGUGGGUUACCUUCUAUGGAGAAUGAGUAGAGGGAGAUGCUCCCUCCUCGUCGUCCUCAGGUGGUAACUCUUCAAGGUGCUCAUCAGUAAGAGUGCCCAUCUCUUCAAUGUAGAAGGCUUGCCCGAACACAGUUGGUUUCUUCAUUUUCUCCUUGAUGUCAAAGUGGAGAACAUGCCCUUUACCCAAAUGGAGAUCAAUCGUGCCCUCUUUCACCUUAACAAUUGCUCCUGCUGUAGCUAAGAAUGGCCUUCCAAGAAUCAAUGGGUCUUGAGCCUCCUCACCCAUCUCAAGCACCACAAAAUCUGUAGGUAUCUCAUACCUUCCAAUCUUCACAGGUAGGUCCUCUAAGAUGCCCACAGGGUACUUCACUGAACGAUCAGCUAACACCAGAGAGAGUUUACACUUCUUGUACUGAGUGAAUCCAAGCUUCUUUGCAACAGACAAAGGCAUCACGCUGACACUAGCUCCCAAAUCGCAGAGACAUUUCUCAAAUACCAUAGGUCCAAGAGCACAAGGUAGUGUGAAGCAUCCUGGAUCCUCUAACUUCUCUGGAACAUCAAGCCUUUGGAUGAUGGCACUGCACUCAUGGGUAAGAAUCAUCAUGCUUUCCAUUUCCUUCUUCUUUGCAGCUACAACAUCUUUCAGGAACUUGUUGUAUUGAGGAAUCAACAUGAAAGCAUCGAUGAUGGGCAUUGCAACCUGAGCUUCACUCAUUUGCUUGUCAAACAAAGCCUUGUACUUCUCUAGCAGCUGCCUCUUGAAUCUACCAGGGAAUGGUAGUUUGGGUUCAUAGGGAGGAGGAACAAAAGAAUUCUCACUUGCUGGAGCAAGAACUUCACCAUCCUUCACUGUUUUCUUCUCUUCCCCAACCUUUCCUUUACCCUUGGCUUCCACAAUCUUCUCCAAGAUUUCAUCAUUGAUUUUCUCAUCAACAAUCACCACUUCAUCAUCUAAGUUGAUGGCCACCUCCUCACCUAGUUUCUCAGCAUCCCUGGUGAGGGUUGUAGGAGGUAACUGCUUACCACUCCUAAGGGUGAUAGCUUUGGCCUCCUUGGGGUUUUGGUCAGAUUUUCCAGGUAGAGAUCCUUGCUGGCGAGUCUGGUGAGUGUUCAUGGAAGCAAACUGAUUCUCUAAAUUCUUGACUGUAGAAGCAAGAUGUGAGAACUUGUUGUUGAGCUCAUUGUAGCUUCCAUCAAUCUUGGAAUGAAGGUUUUUCAACUCAUAUCCAACAUGCUUCUCACUUCUAGUCUGAGACUCCAAGAUUUGUUUCAGCAGGGUGUCAGUGCUGCUCUCUUGAGGAGCAGAGGAACCAGAUGAGGGGUUUUGCUGAGGUUGAUAGCUGCCUUGCUGGUUGUUUCGAGGCGGAUAACCACUCUGUUGGUUGUUGGGAUAGGAUUUCUGUUGGUAGUUGUUGUACUGAAAGUUGGGCUCUUUUUUGUACCAGCUACCAUUGUUGUUGAUGAAACACAGCUCUUCCUGACCUUCCAAACCCUCAACCUCAUGGACAACAGGUGGUGUAUCUUGGCUUGGGUUACCAACAAAGUGCAGCUGCUCUUGUGUGGCUUUAUCAGCAAGGAGGAUGUCUAUCUUAUCCUGUAGAGCUUUCAACUCCUUCCUCGUCUGCUUAUCAUCUGUUCGACUGCUUCUGUCGUGGUCUCCACUGUAGACUGCAUCACUCUUUACCAUGUUGUCAACCAGCUCCUCUGCAUCUUCCUCAGUUCUCCCCAAGAAGAACCCAUUGCUAGCUGUAUCCAGUCUGGCCCUGUACUUAGGAAGAGCACCACGGUAGAAUGUGCUCAGCAAGCUCUCCUUAGAGAAACCAUGGUGUGGGCAUUGAGCUUGGUAGCCCUUGAAUCUCUCCCAGGCUUCACUGAAUCCUUCCAAGUUCUUCUGUUGGAAACUGGAGAUCUCAUUUCUCAGCUUAGCAGUUCUUGAGGAUGAGAAGAAUUUCUCCAAGAAUGCUCUCUUGCACUCAUCCCAAGUGGUGAUAGAGUCGCUGGGUAGAGACUUCUCCCACUGACGUGCCUUAUCCCCCAAAGAGAAAGGGAAUAGCUUGAGCUUUAAGGCAUCUUCGGACACACCAUUGGUUUUUGACAACCCACAGUAGCUGUCGAACCUAUCCAAGUGAUCAAAUGGGUCCUCCAGAGCCAAGCCAUGAUACUUGUUGUUCUCGAUCACGUUGAGGAGUCCUGACUUGACCUCAAAGUUGUUGGCUGCCACAGCUGGUGCUCGGAUUCCGAAUCUGUGACCAUGUAUGUUGGGGCGGUCGUAAGUGCCAAUGGGUCGAGCUGCCCGCGGUUGGUGUUCUGCCCCUUGCGGUGGAUCUGCCAUAUCAAUAUCCAAUCUCUGCAAGUGGGCUUGUUGUUCUUCUUCUCUUCUAGCUCUAGCACACUCCCUCUCUAAAGCUCUGAUGUCUGCUACUAUUGGAACUAGGUUUGAUGGACCCCUGCUCCUCAAGUUCAUACACCUGAAAGUGAAAGGUAAGUGAAGAAGAAGAAUCAGUAACAAAACAAAAUUAAAAUGACUUAGUCUCAAGCAAGUGACUAAAUCUCAAUGUUUAAAUCUACUCAGAAUUUGGCAACGGCGCCAAUUUGAUGUUAGGAGUUUUCAAGGCUCCUAAGACAAAUGUUGUAGUAUAGUGAUUGUCGAACCAGUUCUGAGGGAUAUCAAAGCACUGAGAAUGCAAGUACUCACUUAAUCUAAGUGCAACCAAUGAUUUAGAUGGGUUUUAAGCUAUGACUAAAACUAGAAAGCAAUAACAGAAUGAUACUUUCUUGACUAAGGGAAAAGAGAACUCAUGGGCAUAGGGAUUAGACCUUGGGUGAUCAAGUAUCGAACUAAGGAUGGCAAAUGAUCAAUCAAACUAUCAACCUUAAGCCUAGACACAAUUCUAAGCAAGCUCUAUGUCUAGAUGAAUGCUCAUUUGCUAACAUAUCUCAAACAUCAAAUGUCUUUGGUUGAAUAAUAUGAAAGCAAUCAUUACUAACAAGUCUAUUAGCUAUCUUAGCAUCUUUAACAACAAAUGUCUUUGGCAAAGUAUACUAAAAGCCUAGGAGAGUUGUCUCGGGCAUUUCAUCGAACACCUUUCGGGUGAGAAAUGCCUAAGGAUCAACAACUGAGUGGCCAACUCAGAAGAUGCAUUAUGAUUACUCUACUAGCAAGGAAAUAUGAAUGAUCUACACUAAAACAUCCUAGCUCUAACCUAAUCACCCUUAAUCUCCCUAACCCAUGAAUUCAAAAGGUGAUUACUCACUAAUCUCCAUGAUUCCUCUUAAACCCAUAUUGGAUUUCAGAUUAAUCAUGUAGAGAAAUAGAUAAGAAAUCAACAAGAACACAAGAACAUAACAAUCAAAAUCCAAGAGAUGAACUUCUCAAGAGAGUUCUUGUGUAUUUCUCAAUAGAUCAAAAGAUAAAAGAUAAUCUGCCUCUGGUGGCUACAAAAGAUGUUUAAAACAUAGGUUUUAGAAAUGUAAAACGUGCAUAAUGAAAUGACCAAAAGGCCCUUAAGUAAAAUAGAAAUCGAGCAGAUAAUAGGCGCGGAGCGACCUCGGCAUGUCGCUCCGGCAAGUCGCUCCGGCCUUCGGGAGCGACCUCAGUGGGUCGCUCUGAGAGGUCGCUCCAGGCUUCGCUUCGUGUCGUCUCGCCAUAGAGACGCGAGCGACCUCGGGGUGUCGCUUUGGGAGGUCGCUCCGAGAGGGGUGUGAGAUGCGAGCGACUUCGUGGUGUCGCUCCGGGAGGUCGCUCCGGGCUCGUUCUCGCGUCUCCGAGUGAUGAAACCGCGAGCGACUUCUCCCUGUCGCUCUGGUAAGUUCGCUCCAAUAGGGAGGUCAGAGCGACUUGGUGGUGUCGCUCCGAACUGGUCGCUCCAUGCCUUGCUCGCCCAAUGACCACUCUUUUCACCUCUUUUGAGCUCCAAAUAACCUCAUGUGGUACUCCAGUACCUAAUAGAGACUCAUGUAUGCAAAAUGCAACCUAAACAUGUCUAAAUCCUAAUCUAUAUGAUGAAAAUGCUCAUGGAUGAAUGGAUAAAACAAUGUAAAUAUGCAAGAUAUCAGAAACCCAGUUAACCAAAUCAAGAUGCCUUCUGAGACUUUCGAUUGUGUGCUUUCGCAGAAGUAUUCUAUCAAAUUUAUGUAUAUUCUUUUAAAAUCAAUAAUAGAAGUAAGCAUAGGAAUUAGAUAAAUGCAUUAAAAUCUCAUCAAAUCUUUGAAAAUACUGCAAAAGUUUUUCCUUAUGAAUUCUUUCAAAUUCAUAGAUUGAAUACCACCCCCUUAGUUGCUCUGUCUUCCUCGUGUUCUGGUUUGAAGGAAAGGGGUGAAACCCAUCAAAACCACCACUGAUCCUCCACACAGAUCACCACCGAUCAAUACUCCACCGAUCAAUACUCCACCGAUCAGCCAAACCACCACCGAUCCUCCACCGAUCGAAACCACCACUGUUGGAAGGAAAGGUUUGAAACCACCACAGUGUCUCUGUCUUCUCGUGAACUUAGCUCUUGAUGAUUUAGAAAGUUACAAUAUUUGAAUCUAAUCUUUUCUCAAGUUUGCUCCAUGCUUUAAGUUGGUUAGUAGCUCUAGAUUGCUUUAUGUGCUAUGUUUACUACCUAAUCUGAAUCUGAUCUGAUCUUUUCUCAAAGUUUGUUAUAUUGGUUACUAGCUCUGGAUUUACUUACAAGUCUAUAGUUCUGUUAUGUUGGGGUAAACCUAUCGGUUGGGAUGUUCCCAAAUAAUAUAAAGUUUUGUUCUUUUGUUUGUUAAUGUUUUAGUUUUUGUGCUCUGUUUUUGUCAGCCUAAUCUGAAUAAGUUCUUGGCCAUGACGACCUGCGUGGAAGGAAGUGCAUAUUCUUUUAUCUAAAGUUAAUCACUUUCUUGUGUUAGAGUAUUAGGUUUUCUUUCCAGAAUCUCAAAGUUGACUGUUUGCAUAUGGGUUUUGAUCAAUAGACCUUUAUACUCAUGAUUCUCUGUUUUGAGUUUGGUACUCUUUUAAGUUUGAUGUCACCAAUCCUCCAAGUGUGUUGACUGUUGUGUUCAGGACGUUAUUUACAUGUAAAAGUCCAUGAUGCUUCUGUUGUUUGGUUUGUUAUAAUUGCAGAGCGGACUUUCAUUGUGUUGGACAAUUUCAUAAAGGGUGACUUGUCUCAUGGUGAACCUCAUGUAGAAGGUUUGUUUCCUGAGUUGCUUCCCUUAAGGAACUGGUGCAUAAAUGAUUACGCGUUUAAGCACACACCAAUUAACCUAAUGUGCCAACAAUACCACAAUCGAAUGGUAUGUCAUUGUAGCAUUUUAGGAUCGAAUCCACAAGGAACUAGUGACCUAUAACACCAAGAAUACACAAGCUUUCUUAAUCUAAGCAAACAAGAAGAUGGAUGAUUUGUAACAAGCUAAGAUCCUAGAAAUAUAAACAAGGUGAUCUCAAAUCCAAUCAAGAAAUAAGUGCAAGAACUUUCAAAUGCUAAGGAUGGAUUCAUGGGUAAGGAUAAUUGAUAUAAGGUGAUCAAGUUUCAAUCUAAAGGUGUCAACUUUCAACCGAUCUAUCUAUCUUAGGCCUAGACACAAUCCUAAACAAACUCUAUCCCUAGAUGAAUGCUCAUUUACCUAGAUAACUCAAGCAUCAAAUCCCUUUGGUUGAAUGUUAUCUAAGUAAUCAUUAAUCUCAAGUCUACUAGCCAUCUUAACACCUUUAACAACAAAUCCCUUUGGUAAAGGAUGUUAAAAGCUUAGGAGAGUUGGUUCAGGCAUUUCAUCAAACACCUUCCGGGUAUGAAAUGCCCUCGGUAUGAAAUGCCUAGAGCUCAACUUUAGAUAGGCCAACUCUAGAGUUGCAUUAAAAACACUCUACUAGCAAGGAACAAGAUGGAUUUAUACUAAAACACUUUAGAUCUAGCUUAAUCACCCUAAUCUACCUUAACCCAUGAAUCCAAAAUGUGUCUACUCAAUAAUCUCCAUGAGAAACCUUAAACCCAUGUAAGGAUCAAGGCUAAUCAUGUUAAUGAGCAAGAGAAACACAAUUAUAAGAUGAAGUACUUCCUUAAAUUAUAGAAAGAUUCAAGCUUUUACAAGUUUAGACAAAGUCUUGAGAGAAAAUGAGAUAAAAAUAAAGUUUCUAGGUCUAAAACUAUAUAUAGGAGAUCCAAACUCGUGAUGGUUUAAUUGAAUUAAACCGGGUCAAACCGGAAUAAACCGGUCAACAGCUCAAAAUCUUGUCCGCGAGCGGCUUCUUUCUCCCGCUGCAGCAAGCCGCUACGGAGCUAGCUUUGUUCCGAGCGGUGUCACCAAGUCGCUGCAGGAAGUCGAUACGAAACAGGGACAUGGGUCUUUUCCCAGCGGGUUCAUCAUGCCGCUGUGCUUGCUCGAGCAUGUAAAUGCAAUAUUAAGACCUAAAUGCAACCUAGAAUGAUCAUAAUGAACUAAAAUAUAAAUCUAAAACUCAUUAAAAUCAUGAGAUAUCAAUAAAGAAGACUACUUGACCUGCAUUAGUUUGUAGUCUUCUAUGUAGCUACUGUGACUAAGCGACUUGUUAUCAUUACUAUUGCAACACCCUCUCUCUUUAGUUGUUAUAGUGGAAUUGUUCUUACAAUUAAAAUGGAAAUGAGAACAUAUCUACAAGUCUGCUCCUUUGUUAGUGGUCUAGAUCAUUAGUUAUUGGUUUGGCUUGAUUGUUUUCACGCUGAGUGAGUCACUGUAAACAAGCUUUUGUUUGCAGCCAUGACGAAGUUUUGCUAAUUUUCAGGCUAUUAUUUGUAUUGAUUUUCAGGAGCUAUUAUUUUGAUAUGUUUAUGGUUGCUUGAUGUAUUUGGUUGUUUUGUAGGAUUAGAUGGAGAUGUAAAUUUUUUUUUUUAAGAAUCCUCAAUUAAGAAACUUCCAUUGGACCACUCAAAAUGGAAGUUUCUUAACAAAAAUUCUUAAAGUUACAAAAUCAUUAAGAACCUUAUUUGGAGUUUUAGGGAUAAAGAUGCUCUAAAAACCCAGGUUAAGAGCCCACGAUAUUGAUGUUCUAAGACCUGAAAGGGUCACCGCGUAGAGACUGAACACCCAUCGUGGAGAAAUUCGAGCCGUACCCCUGCGGGUCAGACCGAAUCACAUAGUAAGGUCAUAAGUUCUCUCACAUGGCAGCUUACAUUCAUUUGCCGUUUAUAUGUAAUAUUACCUCUCUUAGAGAUAUAUUCAUAAGGCGUCUUCCCGUUUAAAUACAACAAACACACACCACAUUCUCAUUGUAGCUUCCACUGAUGAUGUAAUUGUUCCCAUUCAUGUAAUAUGAUCGAGUAUGGUUAUCAGGCCCGGCUUAGAAAAAUAAAAGGCCAUGUGCUCUUUUUCCUUUAGACUAAUGAGUAAUUUUUAGAGUUUAGACCUUCAAUAUAUCAAUCUAAAAAACUUUAGAACCCUAAAGUAAUAAAGAAAUUUUAACAUACAAGAUGGAUUCUGUGCAUUUGCACUCCCACUCCCAGCACUCCCUUAGAACCGACACUGAUGAUUAUUAAAAUUUUUUUAUUCUUUAGAGCAAAAAAUUUGUACAGACAAGAAUCAAAAUGGAUCCUUAGGCAGAAUUUUAGACAAAGAAGACAAAAUAACCUAUUGAUUUCGUUCCUCCAAACAAAAAUACUGAGAAAAGGAAGAACUCAUCAAUUUCUAGAAAAAAAUGUACCAAAUUUCAGACAAAACCCAACAAACCAAACCCUAAACCCAAACAUACAUAUGGACAUCUCAACGGUUUAUGUCUUAACGCAAGAUAUUAGACAAACAACAAAAAAAAAAGUGUGAUAAAAAAAAACUCACUUCUCUUCGAGGGUGGCCAUUCCAGUGACUCAGUGAGCGUAGCCACUCAACCAAAAUGAACUUUUUUCGAUGUUAUCACAAACUUUCAUACACGAAAAUGAGUUUUGAGGAACCUGCCAGCUCGCUCGUUUAGAAGCUUUUAAAAAGUUCAUAUAUGAGUGAGACACACACAUGCUGUUAAAGUCCCACAUCGUGUGGUCUAUAUCAUUCAUUUUCAUUGCCCUGUUUUUUUCCUUAGAUCAUAGUAUAUGAGUGAGCGACGUAGUAGUAGUGUAUGUUAACUACUUAUGACAAAAAAAACGGGUCUAGCUUAUAACACACUUAAGAAAAGAUCAAGGAUGUAAUUCAAUGAUUCACACUGACACACACCCGCUACUAAAGUCCCACAUCGUGUUGUCUCUAUCAUUCUAUAUGAUCCGGUCCGGAGUUGUCCAAAAAAUGAUCCAGUCCGGUUUAGCCGGUUUUCACUUGAUUUAAUGAUUUCUGCAUACCGGGUUUAUUUGAAACGGUGUCGUUUUGAAGAACUCUAUUAUGUUCAUCCCGUCUCGUCCGUCACCUAAAACUGAGAAUCUCACUUUUGAAUUCAAAAAAAAAAACGAGGAUCCGUUCAUCAGAUCUCACAAUGGACGAUCCCUAUUCAAGAGGUACAGUCUUUACACUGCUUUUUGUUGGAAUGAAAAACUUUAUAAAGAUGGAGAAAGUGUUUAAGUGUUUGAAGAGAAAGUGUUUUGUGUGAAGAAGAAAGAUUUUAUAACUUAGAAGAGGAUUUUUAUUACUUAUUACAAAUUUGGAUUAUUUCUUGAUGAUACAAAAUGAUGGGGAGUGGAGGUAUUUAUAGCCUCCAAAGUACAAAAUAUCUUACAUAUUUUAAUCCUAAAUUUAGAGAAUUCUAGCAUAAUAUCUAAGAUUUUUUAUCCUAAUUAUCUAGAUAAUUCUAUGAGAAUAUCUAGAUUUUUAUCUUAUGGAGGUGGAGGAUAAUUCUAGAUAUUGAGUUAAGUUUGGGCUAAAAUGAUUAGUAAAUUAUUAGCCCAAAAUGUGAUCCAAAUCAAGUUUAACUUUCAACACCCCCUCUUAAACUUGAUUUGGUUACUCCUAGCAAACUCCUCAUCUUGAUAAAGUCUUCUCGCUUGAGUGGCUUGGUGAAGAUAUCAGCUACUUGAUCAUUUGUCUUCACAUACUCUAACUGCACAUCCAUCUUGGUAACACAUUCUCUAAUGUAGUGAUAACGAGUAUCGAUGUGCUUACUCCGAUCAUGGAAGACUGGAUUCUUCGCCAAUGCUAUUGCCGACCUGUUAUCCACAAAGAUCUUUGUUGGCUCCUCUUGUGGUAGGUUCAACUCCUUUAGCAAGUUUCGUAACCAAAUAGCAUGGCAAACACAUGAAGUAGCUGCCACAUACUCCGCUUCACAAGUAGAAAGAGUGACAAUUGGUUGCUUCUUUGACAUCCAUGUGAAAGCGGUUUCUCCAAUGAAAAACACGAAGCCACUUGUGCUUUUCCGGUCAUCUACGUCUCCACCCCAAUCGCUAUCGCUAUAUCCAACAAGCUUGUAAUCGUCAGAAAUAGAGUAAUACAAGCCAAAGUUGAUUGUACCUUUGAUAUAGCGUAGGAUCCUCUUGGCUGCCUUGAAAUGAGUUGUUGUUGGAUGCUCCAUGUAUCGACUCACAACUCCAACUGCGUGUAGGAUGUCGGGCCUUGUGCACGUUAGAUAUCGUAAGCUUCCAACCAAACUCUUAAAGAGUGUUGGAUCCACACUCUCUCCUUCUUCUUCCUUUGAUAACUUGACUCCACAUUCCAUUGGCGUGCAAACUGGAUUUGAGUCAUCCAUCUUGAACUUCUUAAGCACCUCUUUAGCAUAGCCUUCUUGAGUAAUGAAGAUUCCAUUUUCUUCUUGCUUUACUUCAAUGCCAAGGUAGUAUGACAUUAAUCCAAUGUCGGUCAUCUCGAACUCCUUUGUCAUCUCCAUCUUGAAAUCUUCAAACAUAAUCGGAUUGUUGCCAGUGAAUAUCAAGUCAUCAACAUAUAAGCAUGCAAUCAAUAUAUCAUUGUUUUGAGUUUUGAUAUAAAGUGCAUGCUCAUAUGGACACUUGAUGAAGCAUUUCUCCUUGAAGUACUUAUCAAUCCGAGUGUUCCAUGCUCUUGGUGCUUGCUUUAAUCCAUAAAGCGCCUUCUUCAGCCUUAAGACUUUGUCUUCUUCUCCUUUAACUAUGUAGCCUUGUGGUUGCUCAAUGUAGACUUCUUCCUCAAGGUCUCCAUUUAAGAAGGCUGAUUUGACAUCCAUUUGAUGUAUCCUCCAACUCUUUUGGGCUGCCAAUGAAAUGAUUAGUCUAACCGUUUCUAAGCGAGCAACUGGAGCAAAUACCUCAUCAUAGUCGAUCCCGGCUCUUUGACUAUAGCCUUUUGCCACCAAUCUUGCCUUGUACCUUUCAACUUCUCCUUUAGAGUUCUUCUUUGCCUUGUACACCCACUUCACACCAAUUGCCUUGUGUCCAUUUGGAAGUGAAGCUAACUCCCAUGUAUCAUUCUUUUGAAUCGACUUGAUUUCCUCAUCCAUUGCACUUCUCCAUGACUUCUUUUCUUGGGCUUCUUCAAAGUUCAUAGGCUCGCAAUCCGCAAAUAGACAAAAUAGAGUAAGAUUGUCUUGAUUUUCGGUUACCUCGUAGAUGUCUUGUAGACUUCUAAAACGUGGAGUCCUUUCACUUGAGCUUUCAUCUCCUUGAGAACUUGUUGUUGGUGAAGUUGGUGGUGUAGCUGGCUCUUCUCUCGGUUGCUCCACAUUCUCUUCUUCAAAGGAUGGAAAGAAGUUGUAGUCUUCAUUAUUUGAUCUCCAAUCCCAUUCUCCUUCUUCAUCAAAGAUGACAUUCCGACUAAUGAUUGUCUUCUUUGUUUCAGGAUUGUAGAGCUUGUAGCCUUUGGAGUUAGCGUCAUACCCAAUGAAGAUGUACUUCUCACUUUUAUCAUCUAGUUUGCUCCGCUUCUCGUCUGGAACAUGAGCGUGAGCAAUGCUUCCAAAGACUCUUAGGUGUGAGACUCCAGGCUUCCUUCCGCUCCAAGCUUCUUGUGGUGUCUUUUCUAAAACACUCUUUGUUGGAGAACGGUUUGAUAUAUAAACCGCACAAGCAACUGCUUCUGCCCACAACUCCUUUGGUAGCUUCUUACUCUUGAGCAUGCUUCUUGCCAUCUCAAGUAUUGUCCUAUUCUUUCUUUCCGCUACUCCAUUUUGUUGAGGGGUUCUUGGCACCGUCAACUGUCUUCGAAUGCCAUUAUCUUCACAAUACUUCAGAAACUCCUUGGACAUGAAUUCUCCUCCUCGAUCUGAUCUCAUGGACUUGAUCUUAAGACCACUUUCCUUCUCAACAUGGGCUUUGAACUUUUUGAAAUUUUCAAACACUUCUGAUUUUUGUUUCAAAAAGUAAACCCAUGUUUUUCUUGAAAAGUCAUCAAUAAAGAGAAGGAAGUAGUUACUCUUACCAAGUGAACUUGGUUUGAUUGGGCCACAUACAUCUGUAUGUAUGAGUUCUAGUGGCUUUCUUGCUCUUGUCUCCGACUCCUUUGGAAAACUCAUCUUGAAUUGCUUUCCAAGUAAGCAACCUUCACACACUUGAUUUGGAUGAUUGAUGCAAGGUAAUCCUUUCACCAUUUCUUUCUUGGAAAGUAGCUCUAAGCCUCCAAAGUUGAGAUGCCCAAAUCGAAGAUGCCAAAGCCAAGAUUCCUCCUUGUAGCACAUCUUGAGACAUCGUGCAAUGUCAUUUUGAAUGUUUAGGACAAACAUUCUAUUGCUUGACAUUGGCACCUUUGUGAUGAGAUUAUUUGCAUUAUCUCUUAAAGAAAGGCUAUUAUCUUUUAGUCGAAUGUCAUAACCUUUCUCUAAGAGUUGUCCUAGGCUCAAGAUGUUGGUCUUCAUGCUUGGAAUGUAGUAAACGUUGGAAAUGAAUUGAUGAUCUCCAUUCUUCAAGCGGAUGAGAAUAUUUCCUUUACCUUUCACUUCCAUCUUCGAUUCAUCUCCUAAAGCCACAUCAGUUUUCACCGAUUCAUCAAGCUCCACGAACAUGCUUUUAUUUCCACACAUGUGGUUGCUUGCACCACUAUCAAGGUACCACUUGUGAACCUCAUUUGGUUCAUCCUUCUUGUAAGCCAUCAACAGCAUAUCUUCUUCCUUACGCCGUUCUUCAACAUAGUUGGACUUCUCUUCCACUCUAUUGUUGUUUGGAGUUUUGCAUUCAGAAGCAUAAUGUCCAAACUUUCCGCAACUAUAGCAUUUGAUGCUUGAUUUAUCGUACCUUGAUUUUGGGUUUCCUCUUCCACGACCUCUUGAUGAAUUCUCUCCUCUUUGGUUGAAGUUGUCUUCAUAUGGUCUCCAACCUCGUCCAUUUACACCACGACCUCGUCCUCGGAAAUGACCGCCACCACGUCUUAGAUUGCUUCGGCCACUUUCUUCCUUGUGAUCAAUUCUCAUCUUGAGAACUUGCUCCACAAUAUCUUCUUUCUUCUUCUUCUUUUCUUCAUAAGCUUGUAGUGAUCCAAGAAGUUGCUCCAUCGUCAUAGUCUCCAAGUCUUUUGUCUCUUCAAUCACCGUAACAAUAUGCUCGAAUUUCGAAUCCAAUGAUCUAAGAACUUUCUCCAUGAUUCUCACCUCAUCUAACUUCUCACCAUUUCUUUUUAGGUUAUUAGUAACCGUCAAGACUCUUGAGAAGUAAUCUGAGAUGAGUUCUCCUUCCUUCAUUUGUAAUGCUUCAAAUUCUCCUCUUAGAGUUUGAAGUCGUACCUUCUUAACUUGUUCCGCUCCCUUGUAAGAUGUCCGAAGCUUGUCCCAUGCUUCUUUGGACGUCUUUGCACCAGCAACCUUCUCAAAUGUAUCUUCAUCUAAUCCUUGAUAGAUUAGACAGAGAGCCUUCUUGUCUCUCUUCCUUGAAUCUCUCAAACCAUCUUUUUGAGUUUGAGAUAGACCACCAUCAUUCUCCGGUUCAUUGAAGCCUUUCUCGACUAUCUCCCACACAUCAUGUGCUCCUAAGAUAGCCAUCAUCCUAAGACUCCAAUUGUCAUAGUUGCUCUUAGUGAGCAAUGGAACUUGGAGGGGAACACCACUAUUUGCCAUCUUCAAAGGGAACUUGUAGCUCUGAUACCACUUUGUUGGAAUGAAAAACUUUAUAAAGAUGGAGAAAGUGUUUAAGUGUUUGAAGAGAAAGUGUUUUGUGUGAAGAAGAAAGAUUUUAUAACUUAGAAGAGGAUUUUUAUUACUUAUUACAAACUUAGAUUAUUUCUUGAUGAUACAAAAUGAUGGGGAGUGGAGGUAUUUAUAGCCUCCAAAGUACAAAAUAUCUUACAUAUUUUAAUCCUAAAUCUAGAGAAUUCUAGCAUAAUAUCUAAGAUUUUUUAUCCUAAUUAUCUAGAUAAUUCUAUGAGAAUAUCUAGAUUUUUAUCUUAUGGAGGUGGAGGAUAAUUCUAGAUAUUGAGUUAAGUUUGGGCUAAAAUGAUUAGUAAAUUAUUAGCCCAAAAUGUGAUCCAAAUCAAGUUUAACUUUCAACACUUUUGAAUUUGCGAGGGAUGAUUCUGGAUUUGUUUUCAUGGCAGAUUCUGGAGAAGCAGCUUCUGACGGUGCUGAAAGCUAUGGAGGAUAAGCUCGACGAGGAGAUCGCAUCCCUUGAGAAGCCCGACGCGGACGAUCUUGAGGUUUUGAGGGAGAGAAGGUUGCAGCAGAUGAAGAGAAUGGCGGAGAAACGGAAACGUUGGAGGAGUCAUAGACACGGAGAGUACACCGAGAUCCCCUCCGAGAAAGACUUCUUCGCCGCCGUCAAGGCAAGCGAGCGUAAUAACGUUCAGAUACAGAGAUGAUGAAGAUGAUGAUUUGAGCUUGAGCUGAGAAGAUGAAUCAGAGAAAAGGAUAAAGUGAAAGUUUGUUAUUUCUCGUAAACUGAAAUGUACAUGAUUCUGUUCUAUAUAUAGUUACUCGGUUAAGCAAACGGAAACUUAACCAAUAUAAUAAACCGGGAACUAAACCGGACUAUACUAAUACGCCCCUCUCAAGUCUUUAUCAGUGAAGCUGGAGGUUGAUAAAGACUUGACAAAGACAUUCUCGAGAGAAAAGAAUGAAAAGGACCAGGGUGAAGUGGUCUAGUGAGGAUGUCUGCAAGUUGAUUGCCGGUGGAGACAUGAAAGGUCCUGAGCUUGUCGGCUUUGAGUUGAUCACGAACAGUAUGGCAAUCGAUCUCAAUGUGUUUCGUCCGCUCAUGAAAAACUGGAUUCAUAGCUAUGUGAAUCGCAGACUUGUUAUCACAGUAAAGCUUUGCCGGACCUGUAACAGUGACGUGAAGAUCACGUAACAGUUGCUGAAGCCAUAUCAACUCACAAGUGGCUAAGGCUAAACUGCGAUACUCUGCCUCCGUGCUACUACGACUAACCACUGCCUGUUUCUUUGACUUCCAAGAGAUCAGGGAUGAUCCAAGAUAAACACAGUAGCCAGUGAUCGAACGACGUGUCUCCUUGCAAGUAGCCCAGUCAGCAUCAGCAAACGCAUUCAAGCACAACUCUGAAGACGCUGAGUACAUAAGCCCUUGUCCAGGAUUGUUCUUCAGAUAACGUAACACUUUAUGAGCUGCCUGAAGAUGUGUAUCCGUUGGAGCAGAGAGGAACUGACUCAACUGAUGAACCGCAAACGUGAUAUCAGGUCUCGUUAUUGUAAGAUAAAGGAGUCUACCAAUGAGCUCCCUAUAGACCUUCGCAUCAGCAAGAGGAGUACCCAAAUCUUUAGUAAGAUGGAGAGUAGGAUCCAUAGGAAUGGAACUUGGUUUGCAUCCAAGAAGACCAGAAUCCUCCAACAGAUUCAAUGUAUACUUUCUUUGGCACACAGAGAUACCAUGUGAUGAACGUGCAAUCUCAAGACCAAGAAAGAACCGAGCUUGACCAAGGUCUUUGAUUUUAAACUCAGAUCGAAGUAGUUCCUGCAACGCUACUACUGCAGAGGAAUCAUUACUGGCGAUCAAUAUAUCAUCAACAUAGACAAGUACUGCCACAAACGAAGCAUCAGUCUUCUUGAUGAAAAGCGUGUUGUCUGCAGGAGACUGAAUGUAAUUAGCACCCAGCAAAACAGAAGAGAACCGUUUAUACCAUUGGCGAGAUGCUUGUUUGAGUCCAUAAAGAGACUUUCUGAGACGACAAACAGGAUUUGGUGGAAGAACAACACCAGCCGGAGGAGUAUAUCCCUGAGGUAAGCGCAUAUAUAUCUCCUCAUCUAGUUCACCAUGGAGAAAUGCAUUAGAUACAUCCAUCUGGUUUAAACUCCAACCAUUAAUAGCCGCCAAGCCAAGAAGAAGUUUAACACUGGUCAACUUCGCAACAGGAGAGAAAGUAUCAAGAUAAUCAAUCCCUUCUUGCUGUGUGUAUCCUUGUGCAACCAAACGACCCUUAUGACGCUCAAUAGUUCCAUCCGCGUUAUAUUUGAUCGUAAAAAUCCACCUACAGCCCACAACAUUCUUCCCAACUGGUAAAGAAACAAUAUCCCAUGUUCUGUUUUGUUCCAUAGCAUCAAGUUCCACAUUCACUGUUUUUGUCCACUUCUCUGAUUUCAUGGCUUGUUGGAAUGUUUUAGGUUCAGUUUCUUGAGAAUAAGAAUGAACAGCUGCUUGGAAAAUGGGAUUUUGACGGUCAUAAGAGACAACAGAAGACAAUGGGUAAGGUGUUUUAAAAGAGGAAGGGAAAGAAGGGGAAGAAACUGAAGUGAACGGUAUAAGGCAACACAGGUGAGGUGGUAAUGUUGAAGAAAGACGAGAUAAGCGAGUAGAAAUAGGAGUAGUAGUUGAAAGAGCAGCACAAUGAUACUGAGAUAGAUAAGUAGGAGCUCUAGUAUGUCGUUUAGGCCUAGAUGCAUGAUCAUGUUCCAUACCAGUAGUAUCUAUGACAGUGUGAUCAGUAUUAGUGUCAUGAGUGUGUGAUUGUGCAGGAACAGAAUCCAAAUUUGAACACUCUACAGGUGAUGACACAAGUAAUGAAUCAACAAAAUGCAAAGGAACAGGCAUAGGCAAGAUCGUGUUAGGGAACAUGUCAACAGAUCUGGAUAACAACUCAGAAGUCUUAAAAGGAAACACUGUCUCAUGAAAAACAACAUUUCUUGAAAUUGUCACAGAACGAGAUUCCAAAUCCAAGAGUUUAUAGCCCUUAUAACCAGAAGGAUAACCAAGAAAGACACAAGGCAAAGCUCUCGGUGAAAAUUUUGUUCUAUCUUUUGCAUUAGUAGAAACAAAACACAAGCAACCAAAUGUUUUCAACAAUGAGUAAUCAGGACAUUUGUUCAAUAGUUUCUCAAACGGAGAUUUGUUGUUUAAUAAUGGUGAAGGCAUUCGAUUGAUCAAAAACACUGCUGUCAUAACACAAUCACUCCAGUAUUCAAGUGGUAUAUUAGAUUGAAAAAGCAAUGAUCUAGCUACAUUUAACAAGUGUUGAUGCUUUCUCUCUACUACAGAAUUUUGUUGAGGAGUAUAAGCACAACAAAAGUAAUGAAUCAUUCCAAGUUCUUUGAUUAAAUCAGUGAAAGCUAGUUCAGGAGCAUUAUCAGAUCGUAUAGCUUUUACUUUCAUAUGAUACUGAGUAGAAACGUGCUUAAGAAACAGAGGAAAAAUGACAGAAACAUCUCCUUUAGUCUUUAACAUAUAAACUAGGCCUGGGCAUUCGGGGUCCCAAUCGGGUUUCGGUUUUAUCCAAUCGGGUUUCGGUUUUUCGGGUUCAUCAAAAUCAGCCCCAUUCGGAUUAUAUGAAAGUUCGGUUCGGGACCGGUUCGGGUUCUAUCGGGUUCGGGUCGGGGUUAGUGAAUCUUCAAAGAACCGGUACAACCCAAUAUACUUUCGGGUUCGGGUCCCAAUCGGUUUUUCGGUUUAAAAGUACCUGAUUUUUACCUAUUUUAUAACCAAAACAUGAGUAAAAUCGGUUCUUCAGUUUUAAAAUACCUGAUUUGUACCUAUUUUGUAACCAAAACUUAAGUAAAAUCGAUUCAAAAAUAAGGAACAUCAACCGUGAUCAUUCAAAAUCAAACGAAAAGUAAACAUAUUUACUGAUAAAAAGAAAACCAAAUAAAUAAAAGCAUAAAACGAAAACCAAAUUCUCAUGAAAUGAGAAAUAUUGUUUAACGAAAACAAAAUUUAAAUCUAAAUACUUCAAGAUUCAACGGCCAUCUUUAACCAUCAACCUUCAUGUAAUAGAACCACCAACCUUCAUGUAAUAGAUAAGUAUUUUAGAUGUUCAAUAUUUCUUAAUGUAUUUUGGAUACAUAUUAGGAAUUGAGAUCAUGUUUGGUACAAGAUCUUUUCGAGGUUUUGAAUGUUUUGGGUUCUAUCGGAUAUCCAUUUAGAUUCGGGUUCGGUUCGGAUAAUACCCAUAACCCAAAAUACCACAAAACAAGACCCAUUCGGUAUUUACGUCGGGUUCGGAUCGGUUCGGAUUCAUUUUUAUCGGAUCGGAUUCAGUUCGGAUUUUCGGGUUCGGUUUAUUUGCCCAGCCCUAAUAUAAACCCAAGUAGUUCUAGUACAAUCAUCAACCAAAGUAAGAAAAUAUCGAUAUCCUUCAACAGACUCAACACUAAACGGACCCCAAAUGUCAACAUGAACCAAAUCAAAAGGACAAUCUGAGAGAUUAUUGUGUGAAACAUAUGCAAGACGACGCUGCUUUGCUAAAGGACAUAUAGAGCAGGGAGCAUGAGAAGAAUCCACAUGUUUAUAAGAUGGUAACUGAGAAGAAAGCUUUUGUAAAACGAUAGUAGAGGGAUGUCCCAAACGUUGAUGCCACAAGACGCUAUCAGCAGAUACAGAACCACAGAACACAUCACUUCCAGAAGAUAGUCGAUAAGAAGUAUCAAGAACAUAGAGAUUGUUGUAUAAGCUACCCUUCCCAAUCAUCAAGCCCCGAGAAAGUUCCUGGAUUAAACAGCCAUUAGGGAAGAAAUGAGCAGCACAAGACAAUGUCUUUAUCAAACUACUUACACUAAUCAGGUUAAAAUGGAAAUCAGGUACCAACAACACAUCAUAAAGAAUCAAAUGAUCACUGAUUUUAAUAACACCAGUGUGUGUAAUGGGAACACGAACACCAUUAGGUAAAGUCACAGUCACAGAAUCUACUGGUACAUAACUAUCAAACAUGCCUAAAUCUGAACAAACAUGACUAGAAGCUCCACUAUCUAUGAUCCAAGUAUCACGUGGAACAAGAGAAGGUAAAGCAGACAGACAAUGAUUUUGAUAGAAAAGGUUAUUAUUUGUAGAGGUAAGAUUGAUAGAAGGAAAGGGUAUAGUACCAGAUGAAGACUGAGGAUCCAUAAAGCCAUGAUCAGUGAUCGUUGCACUUGAGUGGGAAAAACUUGAGGAAGGAACUUGAGGCUCUGAAACUCGAACAUGAGCAUUGAACUGUGAGACCAUGUUUUGAAUCUGUUGUGGACUGAACUGUUGCAGAUCAAGAUUAACGCCUCCACUUAUCAACUGAGGUGUAGCCGGUGGAUAUGAAUAUGCGUUAGGCUUGUUUUCAGCACACACAGUGGCAACAGCAUUCGACAUAGGAGAAGGUGCUGGAGUAGAAUUCUGACCCUGAGAACGAGACAUACUCUGCACAUUCUUAUUGUGAGAAGUGUUCCUAUUGUUGUAAGAUCCAUAUUGUUUAUAGCCUGGUGGAAAACCGUGAAGCUUGAAACACUUCUGUACUGUGUGUCCAGCUUUACCACAAUGGGUACAAACCGGCCUUUGAUAAGCUCUCCCAGCAUUAUAAGCAGCAACAUAAGCAGUAUCUUCAACCGUAGAAACUGGACUAACAUGAGCUUGUGAUGUACCCGCAUGAAAAGCCACAUUGUCAAUAGCAGUAACAGGACGUAAGGUGCGUUGACGUUCAUCCUGAGCUACGAUGUUAAAGGCCUCUUCAAUAGUGGGGAUUGGUUUGAGCAUAAGAAUAUGGCGACGAGUGUGCUCAAAUGACUCAUUUAAUCCCAUCAGGAACUUAGUCACACGAGAACGAUGCUGAAUCUUCUCCCAAAGAGCUGCUGCGUCACACUCACAUUUGCCACAAGUACAAAUAGGAAGUUCAACAAAAUUACGAUGUUCCUCCCAUAGAGUAACAAGCGCAGUGUAAUAUGUUGAUAUAUCCAUAGACCCUUGUUCAAUCUUGCUCAAACGUUGCUCAAUGUCAUACACUCUCGGCGCAUCAUCUUGUUUGAAUCGACAAAGCAAAUUCUUCCAAAUUCCUUCAGCAGUAGAGAUGAAAAGUAAACUCUGUGCGAUCUCCUUUGACACCGAGUUCAUUAACCAAGUCGCAACAAUAUCGUUACACCUAGACCAAGCACCACAAUCUCUAUGCGUAGAAGGCGGUUUAGGAAUCGUACCAUCAAUGAAGCCAAGCUUAUUACGGACGUUCAAAGCCAUACGAACAGAACGCCUCCAAGAAUGAAACUCCGAGGCCAUUGCCAAACGAUCAGUGACCAAAAUCAAUCCAGCAUGAUCGUUGUGAUGAAGAUAAAACGGAUUGUCAUAGUUAUCGGAGACUUGACGAACAGAAUCUUGAUGUACAGAAGAUUGAUUCGCCGCCAUGAGAUCUGACUGAACCGAUUACUGAGACGAAGAACCGGGAUGAUGAAUCAGAAAGAUUAUGCAGACGAACAAUCGAACCAAAAGAUCACAGAUCGUAGCGAAGACGACGACGAACAAGCGAGAAAGAGGAAUCAACGGAAGACUCAUGAGGAAUCAAAAUCACAGCUCAAAGAACGAAGCGGAAGGUGAGAUUUAGUGCUCUGAUACCAUAAUAACGUUCAGAUACAGAGAUGAUGAAGAUGAUGAUUUGAGCUUGAGCUGAGAAGAUGAAUCAGAGAAAAGGAUAAAGUGAAAGUUUGUUAUUUCUCGUAAACUGAAAUGUACAUGAUUCUGUUCUAUAUAUAGUUACUCGGUUAAGCAAACGGAAACUUAACCAAUAUAAUAAACCGGGAACUAAACCGGACUAUAUUAAUAGAGCGCGUUGUCUGCCACUUCUACCGCGAGAAUUGGCGCUGUAAAGUAUGGUAUUCACCAAUCUUGACAAGAGAUGUUAGGACAGCAUCAUUAUUGCUGGGACAAAAUUUUGAGUUCUUAACUUUUUUUAUUAUUAUUUUUAGAGUAAGAGACAUUGUUAAGAGACAAUAGCAAAUGUGCACAUUAUUGCUAGGACUCUUGCUACUGAUUCUCGUCUCUCCAUCAUCUGCUUCUAUGGUAUCUCCAUCCUCUUCUCUUUCUCCAGCAUUAACUGCAGAUGCAAAGCUAUAGAUAGAAUCAGUAACCGGUGAAAGAUUUAAAGGAGGUUGGUGGGAGACUUACGUUGAGAGCUCGCUGAGCUUCUCGUUCGAUCCAAAUGAUGGUGUGGUCUGAUGUUCGUUACAAGAAAGUACAAUGUGUUCAAAUCUUCCAUCUACGGGUACUGCUGUCUUCACAACCGGAGGAAAUCUUCCUAAUCUGCAACAAACAUUUACAUAAAUUGUGAGAAUGUUGUGAGCCAUCUUUGAAAGUUUCUACAAAAAUAUACUUUCAUAAACCCUCUACAUAUAGAGUUAAUGAUCAGUAUAUGAAGUAACAUUCCUGAUUCAUGAAUAUAAUUCAUACUCAUACAAUAAAGUUUACUGCUUUGACAGCACCAACCAUAGUUUUACAGUACCAGGUUCAUGGGCAUCUUCAUAACCUCAAAUCUAAGUAGCAACAAAUCAAAAUCAGCCAAAUUGACCUCACUAUCCAAGGAUCUAAGUUAAGCUGAGCAAAAACCAACUUGAUGAAUCAUACCCACACAAUAAAGUUUACUCAUUUGAUAACAUCCAACCAUGGUUUUAGAGUACAAAGUUCAUGGGCAUCUCCAUAACCUCAAAUCUAAGUAACAACAAAUCAAUAUUACCCAAAUAGACCUAAUUAUACAAGGAUUUAAGCUAAGCUGAGCAAUAAAAAUCAACACUUUUAUAACGCCCCGAUCCGCCCACGGCUAAUGGGCCACCCACGCCCGCUCUCUCGGCCCGUGGGCCCAUCCCGUCUGACGGUCGGUCCGUUCAUUUUCCAAAGGCUCGAAAUCAUUGUUUACUGACCCUGCAAUCACCACCCGACCUUUUCCCAUGCUUUGGCCUCACUCACACGCUAUCGCGAAUCACUUCCCGAUAGGUCACUCAUCCUUCCACUACUCCAGCUCAAGCACGCUUAACUCUGGAGUUCUUUCAGGAUGUGCUCCGGAAAAGGUAAGUCAACUUUGGUGACAUAGGUAGCCAAAUCAAUUCUCUUAAGCCUUUUCACAUAUCACAACUCGGGAUGUUACAAUUCACCCCCUCUCAAAGAACGCAACGUCCUCGUUGCGAGAAAUAUUGUUUAACGAAAACAAAAUUUAAAUCUAAAUACUUCAAGAUUCAACGGCCAUCUUUAACCAUCAACCUUCAUGUAAUAGAACCACCAACCUUCAUGUAAUAGAUAAGUAUUUUAGAUGUUCAAUAUUUCUUAAUGUAUUUUGGAUACAUAUUAGGAAUUGAGAUCAUGUUUGGUACAAGAUCUUUUCGAGGUUUUGAAUGUUUUGGGUUCUAUCGGAUAUCCAUUUAGAUUCGGGUUCGGUUCGGAUAAUACCCAUAACCCAAAAUACCACAAAACAAGACCCAUUCGGUAUUUACGUCGGGUUCGGAUCGGUUCGGAUUCAUUUUUAUCGGAUCGGAUUCAGUUCGGAUUUUCGGGUUCGGUUUAUUUGCCCAGCCCUAAUAUAAACCCAAGUAGUUCUAGUACAAUCAUCAACCAAAGUAAGAAAAUAUCGAUAUCCUUCAACAGACUCAACACUAAACGGACCCCAAAUGUCAACAUGAACCAAAUCAAAAGGACAAUCUGAGAGAUUAUUGUGUGAAACAUAUGCAAGACGACGCUGCUUUGCUAAAGGACAUAUAGAGCAGGGAGCAUGAGAAGAAUCCACAUGUUUAUAAGAUGGUAACUGAGAAGAAAGCUUUUGUAAAACGAUAGUAGAGGGAUGUCCCAAACGUUGAUGCCACAAGACGCUAUCAGCAGAUACAGAACCACAGAACACAUCACUUCCAGAAGAUAGUCGAUAAGAAGUAUCAAGAACAUAGAGAUUGUUGUAUAAGCUACCCUUCCCAAUCAUCAAGCCCCGAGAAAGUUCCUGGAUUAAACAGCCAUUAGGGAAGAAAUGAGCAGCACAAGACAAUGUCUUUAUCAAACUACUUACACUAAUCAGGUUAAAAUGGAAAUCAGGUACCAACAACACAUCAUAAAGAAUCAAAUGAUCACUGAUUUUAAUAACACCAGUGUGUGUAAUGGGAACACGAACACCAUUAGGUAAAGUCACAGUCACAGAAUCUACUGGUACAUAACUAUCAAACAUGCCUAAAUCUGAACAAACAUGACUAGAAGCUCCACUAUCUAUGAUCCAAGUAUCACGUGGAACAAGAGAAGGUAAAGCAGACAGACAAUGAUUUUGAUAGAAAAGGUUAUUAUUUGUAGAGGUAAGAUUGAUAGAAGGAAAGGGUAUAGUACCAGAUGAAGACUGAGGAUCCAUAAAGCCAUGAUCAGUGAUCGUUGCACUUGAGUGGGAAAAACUUGAGGAAGGAACUUGAGGCUCUGAAACUCGAACAUGAGCAUUGAACUGUGAGACCAUGUUUUGAAUCUGUUGUGGACUGAACUGUUGCAGAUCAAGAUUAACGCCUCCACUUAUCAACUGAGGUGUAGCCGGUGGAUAUGAAUAUGCGUUAGGCUUGUUUUCAGCACACACAGUGGCAACAGCAUUCGACAUAGGAGAAGGUGCUGGAGUAGAAUUCUGACCCUGAGAACGAGACAUACUCUGCACAUUCUUAUUGUGAGAAGUGUUCCUAUUGUUGUAAGAUCCAUAUUGUUUAUAGCCUGGUGGAAAACCGUGAAGCUUGAAACACUUCUGUACUGUGUGUCCAGCUUUACCACAAUGGGUACAAACCGGCCUUUGAUAAGCUCUCCCAGCAUUAUAAGCAGCAACAUAAGCAGUAUCUUCAACCGUAGAAACUGGACUAACAUGAGCUUGUGAUGUACCCGCAUGAAAAGCCACAUUGUCAAUAGCAGUAACAGGACGUAAGGUGCGUUGACGUUCAUCCUGAGCUACGAUGUUAAAGGCCUCUUCAAUAGUGGGGAUUGGUUUGAGCAUAAGAAUAUGGCGACGAGUGUGCUCAAAUGACUCAUUUAAUCCCAUCAGGAACUUAGUCACACGAGAACGAUGCUGAAUCUUCUCCCAAAGAGCUGCUGCGUCACACUCACAUUUGCCACAAGUACAAAUAGGAAGUUCAACAAAAUUACGAUGUUCCUCCCAUAGAGUAACAAGCGCAGUGUAAUAUGUUGAUAUAUCCAUAGACCCUUGUUCAAUCUUGCUCAAACGUUGCUCAAUGUCAUACACUCUCGGCGCAUCAUCUUGUUUGAAUCGACAAAGCAAAUUCUUCCAAAUUCCUUCAGCAGUAGAGAUGAAAAGUAAACUCUGUGCGAUCUCCUUUGACACCGAGUUCAUUAACCAAGUCGCAACAAUAUCGUUACACCUAGACCAAGCACCACAAUCUCUAUGCGUAGAAGGCGGUUUAGGAAUCGUACCAUCAAUGAAGCCAAGCUUAUUACGGACGUUCAAAGCCAUACGAACAGAACGCCUCCAAGAAUGAAACUCCGAGGCCAUUGCCAAACGAUCAGUGACCAAAAUCAAUCCAGCAUGAUCGUUGUGAUGAAGAUAAAACGGAUUGUCAUAGUUAUCGGAGACUUGACGAACAGAAUCUUGAUGUACAGAAGAUUGAUUCGCCGCCAUGAGAUCUGACUGAACCGAUUACUGAGACGAAGAACCGGGAUGAUGAAUCAGAAAGAUUAUGCAGACGAACAAUCGAACCAAAAGAUCACAGAUCGUAGCGAAGACGACGACGAACAAGCGAGAAAGAGGAAUCAACGGAAGACUCAUGAGGAAUCAAAAUCACAGCUCAAAGAACGAAGCGGAAGGUGAGAUUUAGUGCUCUGAUAGCGUAAUAACGUUCAGAUACAGAGAUGAUGAAGAUGAUGAUUUGAGCUUGAGCUGAGAAGAUGAAUCAGAGAAAAGGAUAAAGUGAAAGUUUGUUAUUUCUCGUAAACUGAAAUGUACAUGAUUCUGUUCUAUAUAUAGUUACUCGGUUAAGCAAACGGAAACUUAACCAAUAUAAUAAACCGGGAACUAAACCGGACUAUAUUAAUAGAGCGCGUUGUCUGCCACUUCUACCGCGAGAAUUGGCGCUGUAAAGUAUGGUAUUCACCAAUCUUGACAAGAGAUGUUAGGACAGCAUCAUUAUUGCUGGGACAAAAUUUUGAGUUCUUAACUUUUUUUAUUAUUAUUUUUAGAGUAAGAGACAUUGUUAAGAGACAAUAGCAAAUGUGCACAUUAUUGCUAGGACUCUUGCUACUGAUUCUCGUCUCUCCAUCAUCUGCUUCUAUGGUAUCUCCAUCCUCUUCUCUUUCUCCAGCAUUAACUGCAGAUGCAAAGCUAUAGAUAGAAUCAGUAACCGGUGAAAGAUUUAAAGGAGGUUGGUGGGAGACUUACGUUGAGAGCUCGCUGAGCUUCUCGUUCGAUCCAAAUGAUGGUGUGGUCUGAUGUUCGUUACAAGAAAGUACAAUGUGUUCAAAUCUUCCAUCUACGGGUACUGCUGUCUUCACAACCGGAGGAAAUCUUCCUAAUCUGCAACAAACAUUUACAUAAAUUGUGAGAAUGUUGUGAGCCAUCUUUGAAAGUUUCUACAAAAAUAUACUUUCAUAAACCCUCUACAUAUAGAGUUAAUGAUCAGUAUAUGAAGUAACAUUCCUGAUUCAUGAAUAUAAUUCAUACUCAUACAAUAAAGUUUACUGCUUUGACAGCACCAACCAUAGUUUUACAGUACCAGGUUCAUGGGCAUCUUCAUAACCUCAAAUCUAAGUAGCAACAAAUCAAAAUCAGCCAAAUUGACCUCACUAUCCAAGGAUCUAAGUUAAGCUGAGCAAAAACCAACUUGAUGAAUCAUACCCACACAAUAAAGUUUACUCAUUUGAUAACAUCCAACCAUGGUUUUAGAGUACAAAGUUCAUGGGCAUCUCCAUAACCUCAAAUCUAAGUAACAACAAAUCAAUAUUACCCAAAUAGACCUAAUUAUACAAGGAUUUAAGCUAAGCUGAGCAAUAAAAAUCAACACUUUUAUAACGCCCCGAUCCGCCCACGGCUAAUGGGCCACCCACGCCCGCUCUCUCGGCCCGUGGGCCCAUCCCGUCUGACGGUCGGUCCGUUCAUUUUCCAAAGGCUCGAAAUCAUUGUUUACUGACCCUGCAAUCACCACCCGACCUUUUCCCAUGCUUUGGCCUCACUCACACGCUAUCGCGAAUCACUUCCCGAUAGGUCACUCAUCCUUCCACUACUCCAGCUCAAGCACGCUUAACUCUGGAGUUCUUUCAGGAUGUGCUCCGGAAAAGGUAAGUCAACUUUGGUGACAUAGGUAGCCAAAUCAAUUCUCUUAAGCCUUUUCACAUAUCACAACUCGGGAUGUUACAAUUCACCCCCUCUCAAAGAACGCAACGUCCUCGUUGCGGCCCAUGACAGGUCUCAAGACGCCUCUCAGGUCAGAACUGAGAUGGCUAACCAGCUCUGAUACCACUUAUAACGCCCCGAUCCGCCCACGGCUAAUGGGCCACCCACGCCCGCUAUCUCGGCCCGUGGGCCCAUCCCGUCUGACGGUCGGUCCGUUAAUUUUCCAAAGGCUCGAAAUCAUUGUUUACUGACCCUGCAAUCACCACCCGACCUUUUCCCAUGCUUUGGCCUCACUCACACGCUAUCGCGAAUCACUUCCCGAUAGGUCACCCAUCCUUCCACUACUCCAGCUCAAGCACGCUUAACUCUGGAGUUCUUUCAGGAUGUGCUCCGGAAAAGGUAAGUCAACUUUGGUGACAUAGGUAGCCAAAUCAAUUCUCUUAAGCCUUUUCACAUAUCACAACUCGGGAUGUUACAAUUUUAUUAUGUCCAGAUCAGGGUUUGUGAGAUGAAUCAGAGAAGGAAGCUUACUCGUUAGACGAUGGCAAGGGUUCUGCAAAGCCUCGACCAGAGGCAUUGUCGAAACUGGGUCCAUGAGAAUAAAGGGGAUAUAUAGAUGUUUCUGGAGACUUCAGAAAUCCUUGUUGACCCUUUUUGUUUUCAUUUCUCUUGCAGCCAAAAGAGAAGACGGAAAUCAAGAAGAAGGAAAGAAUACCUGCGAGAGGCAGAGAAAGAGAGAGAAUGGAAAACCUUUACCAUGUGACAUGUGUCUUAAGAGACGUUCUUUAUUGUCCUUAAUUAAGAAACGUUUUUUUCAAUAAUAGCUAAUUUUGAUUUAUUUUUAAUUCCAAUUACCUUAGAACCCCAGCUAAGGAAUGCCUAUAAUCAUGCUCUUAGUUUUUCUUUUAUGUUAGGACAGUAACUUUAGUUUCUUUUUAUGUUAGGACAGUAACUUAGUUAUUAUAUAAAAAUAAACUUCUUUUUUUUUUUGCAGGUGAUGGAUAAGCACAUGACAUGAGUAUAUUGGCGAAGCAGCACAUUGAGACGCGUUUUGUGAAGAUCCAAGCUGAGAAAAGUCCGUUCUUGGCUGAGAGGCUCACGAUUGUGGUUCUUCCCACUCUUUGCCCUCAUUAAGAACACGAAAGUGGAUGAUUAUGUGGUAUAAUCACACACUACACAAACUCUUAACUUUUGUUUUUUUUUCUGUCUUUUGGAGUAUGAUUGGUUUUUCAAUGUUGUUUUGGUAGGCUGGGUUUAAUGAGCUGGGAGGGAAAGACGAUUUCAGCACAGAUGAUCUGGAAGACAGGUUAGCUAGAGCUCAAGUUAUUCAUUACGAGGGUGAAUCAUCAUCUCAUAAGGUAAAGUCUAUGACACAAGCCAGGAGGAGUGUAAGGCAGAGUGCUAAUUCAGAUUCUGACUCUGAAUGAAUCCCAAGUCUUAAUAAUAUAAAGGAGGAAACAUGAAAUGUAAGUGAGCUUGUUGUUGAGUUUUAUUUGAACUAAUUAAGUUAGUCAUAUGUAAUAUUCAAAGCUAUUCAUUAGUCUUUUUGAUGAUCUAAUAUGGAUUUUUUAACCUUUUAACAUUAUUUAUUAUUUUAUCAAAAAUUAUGAAAAUUUUCAAGUAUCUGCAGACUGAUGAUUCUAAUUAUAUUAUCACCUAUGUCAUACAAUAAUUAAAUUAUAUAUAUAUUGAAUUUUAAGAACUUUUCCUAAACGUAAAACUGUGGAAUUUUAGAUUUUUGAUGAUUAUUUAAAAUAAAGUCUUGUAUUUCUGCCCUAUCUAUGUGUAUAUUUGAUUUAAAAAAAAAACUUGUUUGCAUAAAAGCACACGGAAUAUUUAAACUUAUUCUUUCACGAGAAGAAACACACCACAUUAAAAUGAGUAAAGAAAAAACUUAUAGAGAGUCGGACAUACUCUUGAGUCAUAUAUCGAUCUCAACUGGAUAUUUGUUCAGACAUUCUUCCCAAGGAUUAUCAGCAGAAGCCUUAACGUUACGAAGAGCCACCCAAACACAACUAUUGCAUUUAAACCCUGACCCCAACGCUAUCUGCCAAGUCCUAUCUCCUUUCUUCAUCCUUCCUUUCGCUUCCGUGUAAGCCAACUCGUACCAAAUAGAACUCGAUGAUGUAUUACCAAACCUAUGUAACGUCAUUCUUGAUGCUUCCACAUGUAACGGAGAGAGAUGAAGAUUCUUCUCAAGCUCAUCUAUAAGCGCUCUACCACCCGCAUGUAUACAGAAAUGCUCGAACGCAAGCUUGAAAUUCGGCAUGUAAUGCUUGAUCUUGGGGUUGAAAAACUUCUUUCUAAGGAAUGUGACAAAGAAGAGAAGCUUUUCGCUUAUGGGAAGAACCAGUGGACCUAACGUUGCGAUAUUAAUCUUAAGGGUUCUUGCAGCUACCAUGGGUAGAUCCUUUGACAAGGUGACUCCAACUACACCAUCUUCAUCUUCUUCUUGAGUCGCGCAUCCGUAAGAUCGGUCAUCGGACCCGGUAUGGACCCUCACCGUGUGGACAAGCUUGUAUUUAACGCGUUUUCGGUCUUUAGAGAUGUUAGAAAGCAAAACCGCAGCCCCACCUACCCGGAACAAACAGUUUGUAACCAACAUUGAUUUGUUGUUACCAACGUACAAGUUCUGAGUUAUGUUCUCGGUGCUGACCACAAGAGCAUAAGUGUUUCUAUGAACUUGUAACAAACUCUUAGCGACAUCUAUAGCGAUGACGCCAGCACUACACCCCAUCCCACCAAGAUUAAAGCUCUUUAUAUUUUCCCUAAGUUUAUAUUUGUUCACUAUGAUAGUUGCUAACGAAGGAGUUGGAUUGAAAGUGCUCGAGUUCACCACCAAGAUACCUAUUUCACUCGGGCUGAUUCCAGUGUUGCGGAGAAGAGUAUCGACCGCUCCUAGUAUAACUUCUUGAGUCUCUUUACGUGACCCGACCAUGCUUUGUUCUAUCGGCAAGCAAUGAAGACCUUCCGGUACGUAGGUCUCUUGGCCUAGACCGGAACGUUCUAGAAUCUUGGUCACAAAGUCCAUCAAGUAUUCGUUCUCGUCUGACUUCCCCCAUUUGCCUGAUUCACGUACAACUCUUACGUGGUGCAUAAUCUUCUUGACGCUGGCUUUGAGAUGAGACGGUGGGAGGUAGCAGCUGAAGUCAACUAGGUAAACGGGUUUGGGUCGGUUCAUAAUGUAAAGCGUCCACCCGAGAAUCAGAGAGAUGGAGAAUAUGGUUAGGGACGUGAAAUUUUUCUGUAGGGAGAGGUAAAAGCUGUGGAGAUCUUGUGUGGAAAGACGAGAAGCUUGCAUGGCUAUAGCAACCAACAAUGGGAGGAAACACAGCUUCAAGCGAUGGGUCGUGAGGUAGUUGAAAACCAUUUUUACGUUAUUCAGUGGGGAAUACUUUUUAGUGAUAUGUUUCCCCUGUUUUGUUUUUAAACUCUUAGUGUGGUCUUUGUUCGUUCUGGCUCGUAUUACAUUUAUAGAGGUUUUGAUUGAGUAUGAUAGAGGGGGUAAGAAGAAGAGAGAUAGCUAGAGAGACAGCUCUCAUGCAAUGAAUGUAAUAAAUAAGCAAGCACGUGAAAGUUUUUACUCCGAAUAGCGACAUUUCCAAGUUUUAUUUUAACGCUUCAAAUGUAACUCGGAUGUUUUCUCUAAGUUUAUAUUUGUUCACUAUGAUAGCUACACAAUACUGAAUAUUAACUUUCAUGUUUAACGAGGAUAAGAGAAAAGGUGCAUUUAUCUUGAAGGUUGUAGGCCAUAUGCAUUGUUGGGGAUCAUUUACGAGUCAUAAAGUCAGUGGCAAAAUAUGGAGUCAGAUGAAACACUCAAAUACUAACCCAAUGUUAUCUCAUGUUAAUGUACACAAACCGGCGAUGGAGUCUCCUAGCUGGGUACCAACGUCUUAGUUAGGUGCUUUCCUCGUCUAGUUAGGAUUGUCGAUGCACAUAUAUUUUUUUUAAUAGAACAAAUAUGAAUGGAGACACUACGCCGUUUGUAUUGUCAGCUCACUACCAAAAAUUAAAAAAAAAAAAUGAUGAAACGUGUUCGAUUGACAACAGAUAUACACAUGCAUGCGCGAAGAUGGUGUUGGCCAACCCUAUCCGAUAAGUUGGAUAAUCCGUAUGAUCAUAUCAACCAUGGGGAUGUCAAUAUAUAGUAGCUAGCUCAACUCGAUCAGCCGCUAGUGGUUUAAUGACUGGAUUUGGCUCCAUUGUGCCCCUAUUUUGAUUUUCGUUGGAAGAAAUGUUUUACGCCGUGUUACCGGUAUUAGCGCCGGCUGGUCUCGGACCUAGGUGGAUUAUUUGAGCCGAAGGCUAUACACCUCAUGGUUAAAAAAAACUAGAUCAACCCAAAUCAUUUAUUAUAUGAGCUUAUAUAUACUUUACCUUCGUUCAACUAUGAUUAGUCAAUGUAUAUGCAAUAAAUUUUCAUAUCACAUCAUACUUUCGAUUUUUUACAUAUCCUGACUAUGUCAAAUUUUGGAGUGUAUAUGCAAAGAUAUUUGCAUGGAAAAAAAUCACAGUUUAAUAUGUUACAUCUUCAUUAUUAAAAUCUUUUAAAAAAGAAUCUUAUAUCCUGUAGAAAAUGUAUUUUCUCAAAUUUUUAGAAAAUGAAUGGUUACACAACACUCAGGUAGUAAAUGCGUGUAAAAAAACAACUACCUAUCUUUUGCCGCAUGUCCGUAAAACAAGCAUCUUCUUGCUUCAGAAUUCAGAAAAACCUAAGACAUUGUCAGGUAACAAUGGUUUUACCCUUUAACAGUUUGUCUUUUUUACUCCUACUUUUUUUGCUGUAGUGAAAUCUCAUAACCUUAGAACAAUCUAUCAGUUUUGGUAUAUUUUUAUAAAUAGAGAAACAAAAGAAUUCAAGCAAAGGGGUUUUCUCAAAGAAUAGGAAAAAUUACCUCCUAAACAGUAUUUCCAUUCAUGAUAUAAGAAGACAUUAAAUGCUAUUUUGUCUAUAUAUACUCCAAUUGUGUAAAAAUAUUAAAUUUGAAGGCAUCAAUGGAGUAGAUACAAGUCCACAUAUGGGCGCAGGACACUAAUUGUAUUCAGAUAAUUUGCACUCCCAAUUUAAAGCGGAAGGAUGGUGCGCACAGAUCUCAGCGUAGAAAAACAUGGUUGGGCAUAACAAUAUUUACUAGUUGUUUCACCACUAAAGAAAUUAAACCGUAGAAUUUAUGUUUGAUAAAGAAUUGGGAGUUGAGAGUGCGACGUGUGAGAGCAUCAUUAUCGUUUAGAAAUCCACUGGAAUUUUAAUUUCUUAAUAAUAUUGAUAUGAAUCUGUAUUUUUUUGAGACUCUUCCCUUUUUUAUGUCUUGAUGUUUCUUAUUUUUGUCUUUAAAUUGUCGAACUUGGUAAGAACUCUUCAAUGAUGAUUGAUAGCUUGUGACAAAAAGCAAGUCAAGGUUAAAAGCUAUUUGAGAAUUAUGGAUGUUUGUAUAAAAACUACUCCAUAUCUGGAGUUCCACCGAGUUUUCCAUAACGUAACAGUUGAUAGAGGUAAUGCACUCAUCAGAAUAUUUGAAAAUUCGGUGAUAGCUAAUUGAAUGUUUGUUUGAAAAAAAAAAAAAAGUCUAGUCAACAACCUAACAGAAACUAAAGUCAAUCUCCAACAAGACACCAAAACAUCAAAUUUGGUGUAAUUUUAUCUUCAACAAAACACCAAAUUUAACAGCAUCCCACCAAAUUUGGUGUAACACUAUUCAUCACAUCAAAUCUUUAAAUACAUAUUUUAUUAUGUUUUAUUUAAUAAUAUAGUUCAAUUACUAUCAAAUUUGUAAUUAAACAUAAAUAUAUUGUAUCAUUUAUAUUUUAAAUUUAUUUUCACAUAAUUAAAAUAUUAAAUCUUUUAUUUUUAUUUUUAUUUUUAUUUUCAAAAUAAAUUAUUAAAUGACCAUUAUUAUUUAUCACUUAAAAAUAAUAAUAAUCUAAAUAAUAAUCUAAAUGUGAUAAAAUAAUUAUUUAUCAAUCACAAACAAUAAAAUUUAAAAAAUUUAAAAUAUCAAAUAAUAGUAUAUUAUUUUUGGUGUAAAAUUUAGUGUAAUUGUUAAAGAUGACCAAAAAUUUUUGAUACCAAAACACCAAACUUAGUGUAAUUUCCACACCAAAUUUGGUGGCAUUGUUGGAGAUGCUCUAAGGACUCGUGCAAUCCCUUUCUUGUGGAGCUGGCAAAGCAAGUCAUUGAGCUCCUCUAGUCUUGGUGAGCCACUUGUAAGCUCCCCUAUCUAUCACAAUUAUCCCCUAUCUGUCACAGUUUCGUCAUGUAUGUAGUUUGUUUAGAUACCGAAACUGGGAGAUGGCAGCACAGGACAGUGAGCUGAGGUUGAUUGAGAGGACCGGUUGUUGGCAGGGAAGAGACGACGAUUACAAGAUUUGGAGACGAAGCAAUUUUAUUUUCCUUGCGAAAUGAUCUCACGUUUUUAGAAUUAAUAUGAAUAUUAGAUAUUACCAUACUUUGUUGGACAGUACUUCAUGAACUUGUGUCUUUCGAAGUUUUAAACUCUACGCUUGUUAACAAGAAUGACCAUGCCUCAAUGUAUUUUUAUACCGCAAAAACAACCGCAAUAAAAUACACUUUCUAAAGAAACACACGAGAAAAACGAUGUAAAGAACACAACUGACAGAUUCAUAAAAGAGUUGUUCAUGUCCUAAAAAAAAAAGAUGAAGCAUAUUUGUAACCGCAAAUGGGAAGCAAGGAGACACAUAACCGACUAUAGAUAUCCUCCAAAGGUUUAACUACUAAACUUGGUUGAAUAAAACUUCUUAAAACCCCUAACAUUUUACUAAUAUGUAAUCUGCCUUGAUAGCUCACCAAAAGAUACGCAAAUGAUUGAUUGUCUUUUUUUUUCCAGCCAAAUUUCAUUUCAUUUCAUUCAGAGAAAGUGAGGACCAAUGAGCUUUGCAAUCUCCAAGAAGCCGACACGGUCUUUGCCAUCAAAUAUCUUCUUCAGCUUCUCGUCGCAGAUUAUAACCUUCUUGUUUUGUGGAUCCUGUAGAAAGAACAACAUUUACUCACUUUUAAGUCACCACCAAAGGUUAUAACACAAAGUAAGAUAGAAUAUGAAUAGACUUGUUGUCAUUAUUUUGAAAAGUUAUCACUACUAAAACCCAAAACAACGAACAUGAGCAUGAGCAAAACGUGAAAAAAUCUACAUUUGUUUCAACUAGACAGAACUCAAAAUAAUCAUUAGACAGGUCAAGUAAGGUGAUUCAAAACCAAACAUGACAACUAACUAAGGAAUCAAAAAGGGAUUUAAUUAAUAAUACAUAUCUUAUCCCCAAUAAACAAUUGAGGUCACUAGUGAACUGUAUCGUCACUACUCAACUGUAUCAUCACAACAGAGCCUAGUCAACGUAAGCUGUUAGAAGGUUUUUUACUAAGCUCCAAAAAGGUUUCAAACCUCAUCCAAAUUAUUAAAAGCUGUCUCUUUUGAAAUCAAUAAGCAAUUAGAAAGAGAGAGAGUAUUUACUUGAAGGUCGUGUUCCUUGAUGUAAGCCCAAAUACGCUUGAGGGCCUGUGUGCGAGGUAUCACCGAUUCGCCUACAACGUCCUGCAUCUCGGGGGUCACCGGGCGAGGCUUCAUGAUGCCACGUGGCUCCCUCGUCUUGGUGGUUGAAGAGGGCUCGGAGGACGCCGCCGCCGUCGCGGAGGUUACGGCUCGCACCAUGCGCAGGUUAGCCGGAUGAGGAGAAAUACGGAGAGACGGCGAGCUUCGGAACGGCGCCGUAUCGACGCGGAGAGAGGUAGAGAAGGUAGCAGAAGAAAGAGCCAUUGUCGUCGUCUUGGGUGUUGUGUCUGUCUCUCUGUCUGU